UAGGGAAUCUUCGGCAAUGGGGGGAACCCUGACCGAGCAACGCCGCGUGAGUGAAGAAGGUUUUCGGAUCGUAAAGCUCUGUUGUUAAGGAAGAACGAGUGUGAGAAUGGAAAGUUCAUGCUGUGACGGUACUUAACCAGAAAGGGACGGCUAACUACGUGCCAGCAGCCGCGGUAAUACGUAGGUCCCGAGCGUUGUCCGGAUUUAUUGGGCGUAAAGCGAGCGCAGGCGGUUAGAAAAGUCUGAAGUGAAAGGCAGUGGCUCAACCAUUGUAGGCUUUGGAAACUGUUUAACUUGAGUGCGGAAGGGGAGAGUGGAAUUCAAUGUGUAGCGGUGAAAUGCGUAGAUAUAUGGAGGAACACCGGUGGCGAAAGCGGGUCUCUGGUCUGUAACUGACGCUGAGGCUCGAAAGCGUGGGGAGCGAACAGG
This 429-nucleotide ribosomal RNA is filed under the name Bacteroidota bacterium. RNAcentral describes it as "Bacteroidetes bacterium partial 16S ribosomal RNA". It matches the Rfam family "Bacterial small subunit ribosomal RNA", at positions 355 to 776 of the family's 1533-position model. The record is from RNAcentral. Lineage: Bacteria; Pseudomonadati; Bacteroidota.